CGCCGAACUGCAGAGAUGGAAGUACCCGCUGGAUUUAAGCAUGUUGAAUAGUACUCUGAAGAGAUUGGAAAUUUCCCCUUAAAUGUGGACAUGAUAAAGUGGUGUUGAAUGUGUACCUGGGAGCGCUUGCCUACCCGAAGUCCAUCUCCGAUUCUGGCUUGGACUAUUCCCAUAGAGGGUGAAAGGCCCGUUCGGGUAGGCCAUGUUGCAAUAAGCGAUCCUCAGAUGUGCAUACUUUCGAGUCGGAUUGCUUGAGAAUGCAGUCCAAAGUGGGUGGUAAACUCCAUCCAAGGCUAAAUACUGGCACGAGUCCGAUAGUAGACAAGUACCGUGAGGGAAAGUUGAAAAGUACUCUGAAGAGAGUGGUGGGGUAGUCCCCGC
This 381-nucleotide ribosomal RNA is filed under the name Dactylogyroides mahecoli. RNAcentral's name for it is "eukaryotic LSU rRNA". It matches the Rfam family "Eukaryotic large subunit ribosomal RNA", at positions 1 to 402 of the family's 3401-position model. Lineage: Eukaryota; Metazoa; Platyhelminthes; Monogenea; Dactylogyridea; Dactylogyridae. The record is from RNAcentral.